RNAcentral lists this ribosomal RNA (497 nucleotides) under uncultured bacterium. RNAcentral's name for it is "partial 16S ribosomal RNA". It matches the Rfam family "Bacterial small subunit ribosomal RNA", at positions 28 to 507 of the family's 1533-position model. The record is from RNAcentral.
GACGAACGCUGGCGGCGUGCCUAAUACAUGCAAGUUGAGCGAUGAAGCUUGGUGCUUGCACCAAUUUGAAGAGCAGCGAACGGGUGAGUAACGCGUGGGGAAUCUGCCUUUGAGCGGGGGACAACAUUUGGAAACGAAUGCUAAUACCGCAUAACAACUUUAAACAUAAGUUUUAAGUUUUAAAGAUGCAAUUGCAUCACUCAAAGAUGAUCCCGCGUUGUAUUAGCUAGUUGGUGAGGUAAAGGCUCACCAAGGCGAUGAUACAUAGCCGACCUGAGAGGGUGAUCGGCCACAUUGGGACUGAGACACGGCCCAAACUCCUACGGGAGGCAGCAGUAGGGAAUCUUCGGCAAUAGACGAAAGUCUGACCGAGCAACGCCGCGUGAGUGAAGAAGGUUUUCGGAUCGUAAAACUCUGUUGGUAGAGAAGAACGUUGGUGAGAGUGGAAAGCUCAUCAAGUGACGGUAACUACCCAGAAAGGGACGGCUAACUACGUG